RNAcentral lists this ribosomal RNA (478 nucleotides) under uncultured bacterium. RNAcentral describes it as "bacterial SSU rRNA". It matches the Rfam family "Bacterial small subunit ribosomal RNA", at positions 28 to 471 of the family's 1533-position model. The record is from RNAcentral.
GAUGAACGCUGGCGGCGUGCCUAACACAUGCAAGUCGAACGAGAAGCUAACUUCUGAUUCCUUCGGGGAGAUGAAGUUGGUAGAAAGUGGCGAACGGGUGAGUAACGCGUGGGUAAUCUACCCUGUUAGUGGGGGAUAACCCUCCGAAAGGAGGGCUAAUACCGCAUAAGGUCUUCACUUCUUAAGAAGUAAAGAUUAAAGAUGGCCUCUAUACUAUGCUAUCGCUUCAGGAUGAGCCCGCGUCCUAUUAGUUAGUUGGUGGGGUAAUGGCCUACCAAGACCACAAUGGGUAGCCGGUCUGAGAGGAUGUACGGCCGCACUGGGACUGAGAUACGGCCCAGACUCCUACGGGAGGCAGCAGUGGGGAAUAUUGCGCAAUGGGGGAAACCCUGACGCAGCGACGCCGCGUGGAUGAUGAAGGCCUUUGGGUUGUAAAAUCCUGUUCUGGGGGAAGAAACCUUAAGGGUCCAAUAAACCC